UAUACAAUUUGAUUUCAGUAAAUCGGUACUCAUUAGAUUAAUGGUUAUCUAGUCAUAAGUCAUAAUAAUUAAUAGGUAAUACAUUUAUAUACAAUUCACGCAAAAAAAAAAAACCAUAUUUAGUGGUGUUAUAACUAUAUAACGUUUAUUGAUAGUAAUUCAAACUCGAAUAAGUAAAACAUAUAGUAACUAAAUUAACAUAUGAGAUGGUGCCAUAUAUUAUAUUAUCUACAGUGCUAUCAACAAUAAUAAUUACACCGGCUACCAUUAAAAUCGAAUUUACUAAAUAAUUAAGAUGUAUCCCUAUUCCCUUCCUUAAUACACUACACUUUAUAGUAGUACAUACCUAUAUUAUAUUUAACCAUAUAAAUACAUUUAUAAACUAUUGUUAAAAUCACUAUCAGACAUAUGUAUAUAAUAUCAUAUCAUAUAUGUAUAUGGUUUACCAUUCACAAGAGGAAAUUUAGAUGAUUAUUAUGAUAAUCAAACCUGAAUCCAGUAUGGAAUUUCAAAUACAGUAAAAUAUAUAAUAUAAAUAUGAAUCCGUGGAAUCGGCUGAGAGCAGGUUUCCUUCUUUGUAAGUUCGUAGCUUAACGACGGAACUGUUAUAAUAAUCAGAUUUCCAUUUUCCACAUUAUAUUAUAAGGGUCUGAUUAAUUACCGAUAGAUACCAACAUAAAUAUGAUCGUUGCUGAUAUAAGUAAAGAUACGUAAUAAUAAUACCUUGUUAAAAGUUACAGUAUACUGAGAUCUAGUCUAUAAUUAACAAUCAAGAUUUUAAAGGAAGAAAUAUUGGAGUAUAUCUUGGUAAGUAUUGGUUUAAUAUCAACCACUAAAGAAGUUACAUUAGCGAUCCAUCCGACCGUCAUAUACGCUCAUAUACCGAUACACCGCAGCGAAACGUACUGACCAGUAUCGGAUUUGGACUUGCUACUUAAUUAUCAUAGCUGUACAAAAAUAAUUGGACCACUUAAGAAUGAAUUUAACAAAUGCGCAAAAAAACAUCAAUAAUUUAAAUGGUGAUUUGAAAUUGUUGUUCACGUUAUGAAUAUAAAUAAGUGAUAAUUUCAAUCAACUAUAAAGAGCAGCUGAUAGUGUUGAAACAAAAUAUUAAUUAGUUAUUGCAUACGCGAUUGGAUUGGCCAUAUCGAACAUUUUUAGUAAUAAUGAAAUAAUUUUAAUACGCGACGGAUUUAAAUCUACAUAACAUCAAAUUUUGUAAAAAAAAAUAUAUAUUUUUUCAAGAACGCUAAUGCACUUUUAAGAUAGGUAGGUACUUAACAUUUUUUUAAAUUACCCAGUAUGUAUGUAUAAUGAAUCUAGUAAUUAGUUUGGUUACUAAUUUUAUUUUAUUAUUUAUUUUUAUUUUGUUAAUUGCAUACUUGCAUGCGAUGAAUUAAACACCAAUCGACCGCACCAGCGAUAUUUAU
Aphis gossypii (cotton aphid) is the source of this 1430-nucleotide long non-coding RNA. RefSeq lists it as uncharacterized. The record is from RefSeq and is a predicted model, not a curated record. The transcript is spliced from 4 exons. NCBI's taxonomy places the organism in Eukaryota, Metazoa, Arthropoda, Insecta, Hemiptera, Aphididae.